ACAUAAACUCCAAAGAGUAGAUAUUAAAUGAUGAUUUUUCACAAUGUGGUCCUUCUGCUUCUGCAGGUGAGAAUCAAACAUUUGAAUUUGAUUAGUCUUAGACUGUGGGGUCUUAAUGAAAAAAGAUGAUGACAAUGAAUGCUCAAGACUUCUGUCCACAAAUUUUUGUAUUGGUCGGUUAUAUGUACUGUACAUGGACUUACAUUGCAGGCAACCAGUUCUUGUCAGCCCCUUCAUGAAUUCUCCUUGAUUUGCUUCUACUGGACAAGGUAUAAUGUCAUAUCUGCAACUUGCAGUGUUCUUUGCAUUCUGAUGAAAUCUUCUUGAAUAUUCGAAACUUCUUGAACUACCCGUAGAUAAAUACGAUAUAUUUGUAUGGUCUGCAGAGUAAACAUAAAUGUUUAGAUGAUGGGGAUGAUAGUGGGAUCACAUUUUUCUGAUAAGUAGGGUUCCUUCAAAAGUAUAUUUUCCAAGUCUUUGCUAUGUAAGUCAAGAGUCAAGUCAGAAUGCGUGUUUUCACAG
This 522-nucleotide long non-coding RNA is filed under the name Aquilegia coerulea. RNAcentral describes it as "long non-coding RNA (ACOE_LNC002284)". The record is from RNAcentral. Lineage: Eukaryota; Viridiplantae; Streptophyta; Magnoliopsida; Ranunculales; Ranunculaceae.